UGCACUUAUGUGUGCUUUUGCUUAACUGUGGACAAAGACUAAAAGUAGAUGUAAAAGCUAAAUCCUCUUUUGCAUCUCAGAACUCAUUGUUCAGUAUGUUUUGAUACAAAUAAGAGUGAUGUA
RNAcentral lists this small nucleolar RNA (123 nucleotides) under Neotoma lepida (desert woodrat). RNAcentral describes it as "Small nucleolar RNA SNORA40". It matches the Rfam family "Small nucleolar RNA SNORA40". From Rfam's summary of the family: The snoRNA ACA 40 belongs to the H/ACA family of snoRNAs and guides the pseudouridylation of 28S rRNA subunit at position U4565. NB This family has a high threshold value to exclude a large number of closely related sequences that do not appear to have conserved H and ACA boxes, and may be pseudogenes. Lineage: Eukaryota; Metazoa; Chordata; Mammalia; Rodentia; Cricetidae. The record is from Rfam by way of RNAcentral.